UACGAAGGGGGCUAGCGUUGCUCGGAAUCACUGGGCGUAAAGGGUGCGUAGGCGGGUCUUUAAGUCAGGGGUGAAAUCCUGGAGCUCAACUCCAGAACUGCCUUUGAUACUGAGGAUCUUGAGUCCGGGAGAGGUGAGUGGAACUGCGAGUGUAGAGGUGAAAUUCGUAGAUAUUCGCAAGAACACCAGUGGCGAAGGCGGCUCACUGGCCCGAUACUGACGCUGAGGCACGAAAGCGGGGGGAGCAAACAGG
RNAcentral lists this ribosomal RNA (253 nucleotides) under uncultured bacterium. Its description in RNAcentral is "partial 16S ribosomal RNA". It matches the Rfam family "Bacterial small subunit ribosomal RNA", at positions 524 to 776 of the family's 1533-position model. The record is from RNAcentral.